This 465-nucleotide ribosomal RNA is filed under the name uncultured bacterium. RNAcentral describes it as "partial 16S ribosomal RNA". It matches the Rfam family "Bacterial small subunit ribosomal RNA", at positions 28 to 507 of the family's 1533-position model. The record is from RNAcentral.
GACGAACGCUGGCGGCGUGCUUAACACAUGCAAGUCGAACGGAAAGGCCCUGCUUGCAGGGUACUCGAGUGGCGAACGGGUGAGUAACACGUGUGUGAUCUGCCCUGCACUUCGGGAUAAGCCUGGGAAACUGGGUCUAAUACCGGAUAGGAGCCAUUUUUAGUGUGAUGGUUGGAAAGUUUUUUCGGUGUAGGAUGAGCUCGCGGCCUAUCAGCUUGUUGGUGGGGUAAUGGCCUACCAAGGCGGCGACGGGUAGCCGGCCUGAGAGGGUGGACGGCCACAUUGGGACUGAGAUACGGCCCAGACUCCUACGGGAGGCAGCAGUGGGGAAUAUUGCACAAUGGGCGCAAGCCUGAUGCAGCGACGCCGCGUGGGGGAUGACGGCCUUCGGGUUGUAAACUCCUUUCGCUAGGGACGAAGCUUUUUGUGACGGUACCUAGAGAAGAAGCACCGGCUAACUACGUG